This 159-nucleotide ribosomal RNA is filed under the name uncultured bacterium. RNAcentral describes it as "partial 16S ribosomal RNA". It matches the Rfam family "Bacterial small subunit ribosomal RNA", at positions 338 to 495 of the family's 1533-position model. The record is from RNAcentral.
CCUACGGGAGGCAGCAGUAGGGAAUAUUGGUCAAUGGGUGAGAGCCUGAACCAGCCAUGCCGCGUGCAGGAAGAAGGCCUUCUGGGUUGUAAACUGCUUUUGCCAGGGGAUAAAAUAGCUUUGCGAAGCAAAUUGAAGGUACCUGGUGAAUAAGCCCGG